RNAcentral lists this ribosomal RNA (466 nucleotides) under uncultured bacterium. Its description in RNAcentral is "bacterial SSU rRNA". It matches the Rfam family "Bacterial small subunit ribosomal RNA", at positions 104 to 604 of the family's 1533-position model. The record is from RNAcentral.
GGGUGAGUAACAUGUAGGUAUCUACCCUUUGGCCUGGAAUAACACGAGGAAACUUGUGCUAAUACCGGAUAAGUCUUUACGGAGAAAGCUUUAUGCACCAUUGGAUGAGCCUGCACUUGAUUAGUUUGUUGGUGGGGUAAUGGCCUACCAAGACUGUGAUCAAUAGCUGAUUUGAGAGGAUGAUCAGCCACAUUGGGACUGAGACACGGCCCAAACUCCUACGGGAGGCAGCAGUGGGGAAUCUUGCACAAUGGAGGAAACUCUGAUGCAGCGAUGCCGCCUGAGUGAAGAAGGCCUUUGGGUUGUAAAGCUCUUUCGUCGGGGAAGAAAAUGACUGUACCCGAAUAAGAAGGUCCGGCUAACUUCGUGCCAGCAGCCGCGGUAAUACGAAGGGACCUAGCGUAGUUCGGAAUUACUGGGCUUAAAGAGUUCGUAGGUGGUUGAAAAAGUUAGUGGUGAAAUCCCA